GACGAACGCUGGCGGCGUGCUUAACACAUGCAAGUCGAACGAUGAUGCCCAGCUUGCUGGGUGGAUUAGUGGCGAACGGGUGAGUAACACGUGAGUAACCUGCCCCUGACUCUGGGAUAAGCGUUGGAAACGACGUCUAAUACUGGAUAUGACUGCCGGCCGCAUGGUCUGGUGGUGGAAAGAUUUUUUGGUUGGGGAUGGACUCGCGGCCUAUCAGCUUGUUGGUGAGGUAAUGGCUCUCCAAGGCGACGACGGGUAGCCGGCCUGAGAGGGUGACCGGCCACACUGGGACUGAGACACGGCCCAGACUCCUACGGGAGGCAGCAGUGGGGAAUAUUGCACAAUGGGCGAAAGCCUGAUGCAGCAACGCCGCGUGAGGGAUGACGGCCUUCGGGUUGUAAACCUCUUUUAGUAGGGAAGAAGCGUAAGUGACGGUACCUGCAGAAAAAGCACCGGCUAACUACGUGCCAGCCGCCGCGGUAA
RNAcentral lists this ribosomal RNA (483 nucleotides) under uncultured bacterium. RNAcentral describes it as "partial 16S ribosomal RNA". It matches the Rfam family "Bacterial small subunit ribosomal RNA", at positions 28 to 523 of the family's 1533-position model. The record is from RNAcentral.